CCUACGGGGUGCAGCAGUCGAGAAUCAUUCACAAUGGGGGAAACCCUGAUGGUGCGACGCAGCGUGGGGGAAUGAAGGUCUUCGGAUUGUAAACCCCUGUCAUGUGGGAGCAAAUGAAAAAGAUAGUACCACAAGAGGAAGAGACGGCUAAUUCUGUGCCAGCAGCCGCGGUAAUACAGAGGUCUCAAGCGUUGUUCGGAAUCACUGGGCUUAAAGCGUGCGUAGGCUGUUUCGUAAGUCGUGUGUGAAAGGCGCGGGCUCAACCCGCGGACGGCACAUGAUACUGCGAGACUAGAGUAAUGAAGGGGGAACCGGAAUUCUCGGUGUAGCAGUGAAAUGCGUAGAUAGCGAGAGGAACACUCGUGGCGAAGGCGGGUUCCUGGACAUUAACUGACGCUGAGGCACGAAGGCCAGGGGAGCGAAAGGGAUUAGAUACCCUUGUAGUC
RNAcentral lists this ribosomal RNA (446 nucleotides) under uncultured bacterium. RNAcentral describes it as "partial 16S ribosomal RNA". It matches the Rfam family "Bacterial small subunit ribosomal RNA", at positions 338 to 795 of the family's 1533-position model. The record is from RNAcentral.